UGUCUUGCAGAGAUGACCUUAGUGGAUAAAUGCAGCAGUGGAAAGGAAUAGAAUAGAGGCAAAAGGCUUCUGACAAUAUCACAGAAAACAUCAUGCUAAAAAGCAUAGGAGCAAGAAUGCAGUCCUGCUUUACUCCACUGGUGACUGGGAAAGCACAGGAGCAUUGUUCACUGUCCAGAACCCAUAGUCAUUAGAGCGGCAAGACAGAAGUCAAGAUGACUGGCAAUGGCUCAGGAUGCUGUGGAUGAUCUGGGCAAUGUCUAACCAAGCUCUUAGCACUCCACAGAAUGGAUUUGUGGCCAUUGGAACAAAUUGUUCUCAUCUGCCCAUUCUGCCAGGGGAAGUCUUCACAUUCUUGGGGUAGACACCUCCCUAAUUCACUAAUGGAUUUCAGAACCCUUGGUUAACUUCAACCUGCUUUUAGCUUGUGUCCUGAAAUGGCUUACCAGGGUGUGAUUCUUGUGUAUGCUAUAGCUUCUUGGAGCCACAGGUGAGAGGUAGGUGGAACAGAUGGACAGCAACAGUGGAAAGCAACCCUGAAAAGGGCUUGGCAGCACUCACACCAGGGUUUCUAGUCUUCCCUACACAUCCUACAUCUCAGGAUAAUAUUAAUUCAAAUAGAAAACACUUUUCACACAAAUAAAGGUAGAUCUAAACAAUUAAUUGCCCAUGAGUAGACCUAGCCAUUAGUUUUUUAGAUGACAAUUCUACCUGUUAAUUUUUUUAUUCUUUGCCAAACCAAUCAAACCACCAAAUAAUAAUAUAGAGCUAGAAAAAAAAUAAUGACUAAAUUCAGCUGGAAGAACAAAGAGUUCUUCAGAAAACAGAAAAGGAAAAUGACAAAUGCUGGGGUAGAUGUGGAAAAUUGGGAAACUAAUGCACUGUUGGCAGAAUUGUGAACUAGUACAGCCAUUAUGGAGAACAAUUUGGAACUAAACCCAAAGGGCUCUAAAACUCUGCAUGCACAUUGAACCAGCAAUGCCACUAUAACAGAAAAGGUCCAAUUUGUACAAAUAUGUUUAUAGCAGCUCCUUUUGUGGUGGCAAAGAACUGGAAAU
This is a non-coding RNA of Phascolarctos cinereus (koala), 1058 nucleotides long. NCBI's taxonomy places the organism in Eukaryota, Metazoa, Chordata, Mammalia, Diprotodontia, Phascolarctidae. The record is from RefSeq and is a predicted model, not a curated record.